GACGAACGCUGGCGGCGUGCUUAACACAUGCAAGUCGAACGGUGAAGCGCCUUCCUUUUUGGUGGGUGUGGAUGAGUGGCGAACGGGUGAGUAACACGUGAGUAACCUGCCCCCUUCUUCUGGAUAACCGCAUGAAAGUGUGGCUAAUACGGGAUAUUCUGGGUCUGUCGCAUGAUGGGUCUGGGAAAGAUAUUGUUUCGGUGGGGGAUGGGGUCGCGGCCUAUCAGCUUGUUGGUGGGGUGAUGGCCUACCAAGGCGGUGACGGGUAGCCGGCCUGAGAGGGUGGACGGUCACACUGGGACUGAGACACGGCCCAGACUCCUACGGGAGGCAGAAGUGGGGAAUAUUGCACAAUGGGCGCAAGCCUGAUGCAGCGACGCCGCGUGAGGGAUGGAGGCCUUCGGGUUGUGAACCUCUUUCGCCAGUGAAGCAGGCCUGCCUCGUUUGUGGGUGGGUUGACGGUAGCUGGAGAAGAAGCGCCGGCUAACUACGUG
Molecule: ribosomal RNA, 494 nt
Filed under: uncultured bacterium
Lineage: Bacteria
Description: partial 16S ribosomal RNA
Rfam family: Bacterial small subunit ribosomal RNA
Source: RNAcentral